Molecule: ribosomal RNA, 253 nt
Filed under: uncultured bacterium
Lineage: Bacteria
Description: partial 16S ribosomal RNA
Rfam family: Bacterial small subunit ribosomal RNA
Source: RNAcentral
GAUCCUGGCUCAGGAUGAACGCUAGCGGCAGGCUUAACACAUGCAAGUCGAGGGGCAGCAUUUUAGUUUGCUUGCAAACUGAAGAUGGCGACCGGCGCACGGGUGAGUAACACGUAUCCAACCUGCCGAUAACUCCGGGAUAGCCUUUCGAAAGAAAGAUUAAUACCGGAUAGCAUACGAAUAUCGCAUGAUAUUUUUAUUAAAGAAUUUCGGUUAUCGAUGGGGAUGCGUUCCAUUAGUUUGUUGGCGGGGG